This 497-nucleotide ribosomal RNA is filed under the name uncultured bacterium. RNAcentral's name for it is "partial 16S ribosomal RNA". It matches the Rfam family "Bacterial small subunit ribosomal RNA", at positions 28 to 507 of the family's 1533-position model. The record is from RNAcentral.
GAUGAACGCUGGCGGCGUGCCUAAUACAUGCAAGUCGAGCGAACGGACGAGAAGCUUGCUUCUCUGAUGUUAGCGGCGGACGGGUGAGUAACACGUGGAUAACCUACCUAUAAGACUGGGAUAACUUCGGGAAACCGUAGCUAAUACCGGAUCAUAUUUUGAACCGCAUGGUUCAAAAGUGAAAGACGGUCUUGCUGUCACUUAUCGAUGGAUCCGCGCUACAUUAUCUAGUUGGUAAGGUAACGGCUUACCAAGGCAACGAUGCAUAGCCGACCUCGGAGGGUGACCGGCCACACUGGAACGAAGACACGGUCGAGACUACUACGGGAGGCAGCAGUAGGGAAUCUUCCGCAAUGGGCGAAAGCCUGACGGAGCAACGCCGCGUGAGUGAUGAAGGUCUUCGGAUCGUAAAACUCUGUUAUUAGGGAAGAACAUAUGUGUAAGUAACUGUGCACAUCUUGACGGUACCUAAUCAGAAAGCCACGGCUAACUACGUG